AGGACGAACGCUGGCGGCGUGCUUAACACAUGCAAGUCGCGCGAGGCCUCCGCUUCGGUGGGGUGCCCUAGCGGCGAACGGGUGAGUAACACGUGGGCAACCUGCCCUCAGCUCUGGGAUAACUCCGGGAAAUCGGAGCUAAUACCGGAUAUGACUGCCGACCGCAUGGUCUGGUGGUGGAAAGAUUUAUCGGCUGGGGGAUGGGCCCGCGGCCUAUCAGCUUGUUGGUGGGGUCACGGCCCACCAAGGCGACGACGGGUAGCCGGCCUGAGAGGGUGACCGGCCACACUGGGACUGAGACACGGCCCAGACUCCUACGGGAGGCAGCAGUGGGAAUAUUGCGCAAUGGGCGAAGCCUGACGCAGCGACGCCGCGUGAGGAUGACGGCUUCGGGUUGUAAACCUCUUUCAGCGAGGACGAAGCGGAAGUGACGGUACCUGACAGAAGAAGCGACCGGCAACUACGUGCCAGCAGCCGC
RNAcentral lists this ribosomal RNA (478 nucleotides) under uncultured soil bacterium. RNAcentral's name for it is "bacterial SSU rRNA". It matches the Rfam family "Bacterial small subunit ribosomal RNA", at positions 26 to 518 of the family's 1533-position model. The record is from RNAcentral.